AGGUGGGGGACAACCCUGGGAAACUGGGGCUAAUACCGCAUAUGGGCUGAGGCCCAAAGCCGUAAGGCGCCUUUGGAGCGGCCUGCGUCCGAUUAGCUAGUUGGUGGGGUAAAGGCCUACCAAGGCUCCGAUCGGUAGCUGGUCUGAGAGGACGAUCAGCCACACUGGGACUGAGACACGGCCCAGACUCCCACGGGAGGCAGCAGUGGGGAAUAUUGGACAAUGGGCGCAAGCCUGAUCCAGCAAUGCCGCGUGGGUGAAGAAGGUCUUCGGAUCGUAAAGCCCUUUCGACAGGGACGAUGAUGACGGUACCUGUAGAAGAAGCCCCGGCUAACUUCGUGCCAGCAGCCGCGGUAAUACGAAGGGGGCUAGCGUUGCUCGGAAUUACUGGGCGUAAAGGGCGCGUAGGCGGCUUAGUCAGUCAGGCGUGAAAUUCCUGGGCUUAACCUGGGGGCUGCGCUUGAUACGGCUAGGCUUGAGGGUAGGAGAGGGUCGUGGAAUUCCCAGUGUAGAGGUGAAAUUCGUAGAUAUUGGGAAGAACACCGGUGGCGAAGGCGGCGACCUG
This 565-nucleotide ribosomal RNA is filed under the name uncultured Alphaproteobacteria bacterium. Its description in RNAcentral is "bacterial SSU rRNA". It matches the Rfam family "Bacterial small subunit ribosomal RNA", at positions 134 to 731 of the family's 1533-position model. Lineage: Bacteria; Pseudomonadati; Pseudomonadota; Alphaproteobacteria. The record is from RNAcentral.